Molecule: ribosomal RNA, 545 nt
Filed under: uncultured freshwater bacterium
Lineage: Bacteria
Description: bacterial SSU rRNA
Rfam family: Bacterial small subunit ribosomal RNA
Source: RNAcentral
AGAGUUUGAUCCUGGCUCAGGAUGAACGCUAGCGGCAGGCCUAAUACAUGCAAGUCAAGGGGUAGCAAUACACCGGCGGACGGGUGCGUAACGCGUACAGAACAUACCCUUAAGCGGGGGAUAGCAUUGGGAAACUGGUGGUAAUACCCCAUAACAUUGAGAUUUGGCAUCAAAUUUCAAUUAAAGUUCCGGCGCUUAAGGAUUGCUGUGCGUCCGAUUAGCUAGUUGGUGGGGUAACGGCCCACCAAGGCGACGAUCGGUAGGGGGUGUGAGAGCAUGACCCCCCACACGGGUACUGAGACACGGACCCGACUCCUACGGGAGGCAGCAGUAAGGAAUAUUGGACAAUGGAGGCAACUCUGAUCCAGCCAUGCCGCGUGAAGGAUGAAGGCGCUCAGCGUUGGAAACUUCUUUUGGAUAGGAACAAAACACCCGAUGCGUAGGGUACUGAGGGUACUAUCAGAAUAAGCACCGGCUAACUGCGUGCCAGUAGACGCGGUAAUACGGAGGGUGCAAGCGUUAUACGGAAUCACUGGGAUUAAAGG